UGGGGAAUUUUGCACAAUGGGCGCAAGCCUGAUGCAGCCAUGCCGCGUGUAUGAAGAAGGCCUUCGGGUUGUAAAGUACUUUCAGCGGGGGGGAAGGGAGUACAGUUAAUACCUUUGCUCAUUGACGUUACCUGCAGAAGAAGCACCGGCUAACUCCGUGCCAGCAUCCGCGGUAAUACGGAGGGUGCAAGCGUUAAUCGGAAUUACUGGGCGUAAAGCGCACGCAGGCGGUUUGUUAAGUCAGAUGUGAAAUCCCCGGGGUCAACCUGGGAACUGCAUCUGAUACUGGGAAGCUUGAGUCUCGUAGAGGGGGGUAGGAUUCCAGGUGUAGCGGUGAAAUGGGUAGAGAUCUGGAGAGAUACCGGUGGCGAAGGCGGCCCCCUGGACGAAGACUGACGCUCAGGUGCGAAAGCGUGGGGAGCAAACAGG
This 429-nucleotide ribosomal RNA is filed under the name Chloroflexota bacterium. Its description in RNAcentral is "Chloroflexi bacterium partial 16S ribosomal RNA". It matches the Rfam family "Bacterial small subunit ribosomal RNA", at positions 355 to 776 of the family's 1533-position model. The record is from RNAcentral. Lineage: Bacteria; Bacillati; Chloroflexota.